This 1775-nucleotide long non-coding RNA is filed under the name Gossypium barbadense (sea-island cotton). RNAcentral describes it as "long non-coding RNA (GBAR_LNC002951)". The record is from RNAcentral. Lineage: Eukaryota; Viridiplantae; Streptophyta; Magnoliopsida; Malvales; Malvaceae.
AGGGGAGAAGAGGGAGAGAGGGGAACGAUGCCCACAACGCCUCGGUCUUAGCCGAUUCGGCGUUCAUUGGUGCUCAACGCCUCCGCCUCCAUCAUGGCACCAGUCUAAAACCCCUCAAAACGCAGGUAAGUUUACUCGUCUUUUAUUUUGCUAAAAUUUUUAUCUACCAAAGCAAAGAGAAAAAAAAGAAAAUAAAAACCCAAAAGGGAGAAUAUGAAUCGAAGAACCACUUUCGGUUUUUCUGAGUAUUGUUUCAAACGUUUGCAUUCGUAUUGAUUUCUUUUUGCGUAAUCUCUGUGAACGUAACCUUACAAAGGAUGAAAUCCUUUGGCUUUAUAGCCCAAAGGAAAGAAAGAAAAAUCAAUAAAAUAAAUAAAAAAUACAAUAUUUCCAUUUGUUUGUAUUUGUUGCUGUUGCUUGUUUUUUUUUUUUUUUGCAGGUACGGGUGUGCUGGUGCUCGGGUACGGAGGCUUGGGCAUGGCAUGGCUGUUGAGGUGCUGGCAUCGUACGAAGGCGUUGUCUGGUUGCAGCGUAAGCAUUAGGCUAGGGUUUUUUUGCCUGCUUUAAAUUUUGGGCCACUUGGGCCUAUUGUAUUUGGCCUUGGGUUAUGUAGCUGGGAUUGGGUCUGUUAUAAAACUGGACUGUUGUAUUGGUUUGGUUUAAAAUUUUAUUAUUUAUUUAUUUUGUAUAUAUUUUGGUUUCUAGUGGGCCCGGGCAAAUUGGCCCAUUUACAAUGUUGAAUUUUUAAUUUGGCAGUAGUGAAUCGUGGAAGUCGUGGCCCCCCUCUUAUAGAUUCAUAGUUAGGGAUUGCCAGAAUUUGGAGGUAAGUGAUGAGUGGUCGAUAUAUCUCGUUUGGUUUCGUAGUUACGGUUUAGUUACAUGUUAAAUCUGAAUUUGGGCUUUGGAUUAUCGAUUGUUAGAUUUUGGAGUGCUCGGGAUUGUGUUUGCUAUGAAAUUAUAUCAGGUGUGUACCCGAAAUGUAGAAAAAUAGGAUUUGGCGAAAGCUGGAAUACCCCAUUGUCGACGCCACACGGGCAUGUGGUUGCCUGUGUGGUAGGAUGUGUGCGACAACACGGCUGUGUGACCGACAAAGGCUAGGUCAUGCGUAAGACAGAGUCGUGUGAUGUUUGAGGUGUGGCCGUAUGGGCUACACAAGCUAAACCAAAUUGGGUGUAUGGGCCACACGGGCCUGUGGGCCUACAUAGACAUUCCACACGGAUGUAUGAUAUCUGGGCCAGGCUGUGUGAUCUGCACUGGCAAUGCCAAUCUAGGUGUGUGGGCCCAUUUAGCUAAAAUGUUUCCUAGGGUUGCACGGGUCACCCAAGUCGACUGUGAACCUACUGUAGGGUCGAUAAAUACUACUUAGACCCUAAAUCGUGUGACCUGAAUAUAUAAUGCAUGUACUAAGCAUGUUAAAUUUAUGCAUGUUUACCGGUCUGUAUGUAUGAUUGAUAACUGAAUUUUAGCAUGUAAGCAUGUAUCUCUGUAUGUUUGCAUUAAGCAUGUUUAGUUGCAUCUGCAUUGGGGUGGGAUGAUUGAUUAUUGGAGGAAAUGUACUGAAAGGCUUUCAUGCUUAUUAUCUGGCAGCUUAGCUACAAUAUUACCGAUAUGUGUCGUAUUUGGUACAACUUGGUGUGUAGGGUUGAGUGGGUGUUCCAAACCCCACAGGGUGUGUAGGGAUGGUCGGAGAUGGUGUGUAGAGGCUAGUGGGUAGGAUACUGAUUUUUGUUACUGAAUACAUAAUGUAUCUAAGAUGGGCUAAGGCCUUAAUUUAU